Anopheles arabiensis is the source of this 1876-nucleotide RNA transcript. RefSeq lists it as uncharacterized. The record is from RefSeq and is a predicted model, not a curated record. NCBI's taxonomy places the organism in Eukaryota, Metazoa, Arthropoda, Insecta, Diptera, Culicidae. The transcript has 3 exons.
GUUUUUUCGAAGCAGCGGUUGACCAACAACAAGCAUAGCGAGAAGAGAGUGAAGAAGGAAAAUCAAUUAUAAAGUUUCUUGCCAAGACAAGGGUAUUUUCAAAAAAAAGGAUAAGAAAGGAGGAGUGGAAGUAGAGUGCGUAAGUGACUAGUGGAAAAUGGGGGUCCAGGACCCAGGGGGGGGCAUUCCCCUCGGGAACUACUACGACAUUUUAGAGUUCCAAAGCGAACCUAAAAGGAAAAUGGGGAAAAAGAAUAAAAUCCUAGGAUUUGAGAAAGAAAUCAUGGAGGAUGAGGUAUUCAUGGUGAUGGAAUCCACAACCCGAGAUUGAAAUCUAAGCCGAGUUAGCCCGUUUUUGAUCUCAAAGGUAAUUGAAAAUGCGAUCUCCGGAAAGCCAAUGCUGGUCAGUCGCUUGAAAGACGGGAAGCUACUGAUCAAAGUGGCCAACCAGAAACAAGCAGAGAAGAUUAAAAAAAUAAAAACGAUCCCCGAUCACAGAGGAGAGAUCCAGGUUCAAACGCUAGAACACCCCACCUUAAAUUGUAGCAAAGGAGUGAUUCGAUGCCCCGAUAUCGAAUUCCUUACGGAAGGGGAAAUAUUGGACGGACCUCAAACACAGAAGGCAACAGAGGUGAUUAUCUUAAAAAGAAAGAUAAAUAAUGUGUUAACCAAUACUCGCACAGCAAUCGUCACCUUCAAAACAGGAAGAAUCCCACGUACAGUCGAUUUCGGACUGUAUCCACUGAAAGUGGAACUCUACAUUCCGAGACCCAUGCGGUGCACCACCUGCAUGAGACUCGGCCACACAAAAAAAUCUUGCCAGCGCGAGAAAAUAUGUGCAAACUGCAGUGAAAUGGAACACAAAGAGUCAUGCGUAAGAACAAAAUGCGUGUCAUGUGGAGAUGCCCACAAUACGCUAGACAGGAACUGCCCUGUUUUUUGUGACGAAAUGGAGAUCAGUAAAAUACGCACAGUGAACAAAAUAACAUACGGAGAAGCAAAACGUAUACGUAGACGACAGUGUCCCGAAAUCCCUAAAAUCUACACAUCAGACAUAUCCUAUGCACAAAGAACAAAAUCAGCAACAAAAAGCAGAGCUAACCACGAGACCAAUACAUGGUACAAUGAACUAUGCCGAAGCAAAGGGAAAAAAUUUGCCAGAUACCAAAGCUCAAUAGAAAACAAAAUGUGGCACCAUAGACUAAAAAUCCCAGCAAAGGACAUCAAAACACUAAAUAGAUUAAUAGCGGGCCAUGAUUAUGGUAAUUUCUGGCUACACAAAAUGAAGCUCAUAGACAGAGGAACAUGUGCAAUUUGUAACGUAGAGGACACAGCGAGUCACAGAGUCUUCUAUUGCCACAAAUUCGACAUGGAACGAAAAGACCAGUUAAAAAUAAAUGAACAAAACUUCAUCAAGGCCUGGAAGACGAAAGAUAAAAAGAAAAUGAAAAUGGUGAUAAAAUUUAUAAAAACUAACCGAAUAUCCUUCUGAAACGUCUCGCUUAAACUACAUGACAUAAUAAACCGACGAAGUACUUAACCUAACAACAUAAACUGACAACACACAUAAAACUUCAGAAAACAAAUCACAUAUAGAAAGAGGACAUAUGGCCUUUGAUGCCGUCCAAAAACAACAGAGGUUGUGUUUAACACAAUAGCGGACUAGUACUGAAGGGCCCAGGAAGCUGGAUUUCAGUUCCGAACCGUCAAACGACCUCGACAAACUGAAGAAGAAGAAGAAACCCCGAUGAAUCAACUUUUGAGCUGAUUUUUCUUUCCACCACGAACUUUACAACCACACGAUAUAAACACGGCGCUCCGCGCAGCACAGGAAAACAUCUGGUUUUUGUUGUUGUCAAUCAAAAUACCACACCAC